CAGACACAGGCUGUCUGCCAGCCUGGAUUUUUCUAGCUCAUAGCUUCGCCCUGCUAGGAAGCGUGUGUUCUUGUACAAAGGCCGUUCAGCGUCGGGAUUUACACUCGGCUCGACACGGAUAUGUGAAGAAUGAAGGGACCCUGCAGCGAAACGGAGAGCCAACCUCUGACUGAGUGCCUGUCAACACAGUCUGACCACCUGUUGAAGGGCUGUUUGAUGACGAUUUGGACUCCUCUGGGAGAUGAGGACACACCCACAUCUGUUCCAUACUGCAGCCAUGGAUGGUGUUACAGCUCUGAGUCAGCUUUGGGCCAUCAGACGCACACACUGGAAAACCAGCGCCUAUACUUCAUGCAGGAGAGACGGCCUCAGUGAUCCAGGGUGCCCGGGUAAUGAAGGAAAUGAGUUUGCCGACUAGAGAAAAAUCAACCGAGAGCGUGAGCGAAGGUUACCGAAGAAAAAACAGAUGAUGGUUCCAAUGCCGGAGAGCUUGUCGAACGGAAGGGCCACAGAAGUUCCGUAGUGUGAAGGGAAUUAAAAGGAACGGACUUCAGCGUGAACGACCAGUUCCCCAAAGAGAUCCUGGAACGACGCAGGGUUCUCUUCCCAAUCCGACGCGGCUUCAUCCAGAAGGGCUCCCGCGCUGUCAUCGCUGUGGACCGGCUGUACGUGGACGGACAGCUCCACCGCGACCCCGACAUCACUCCGUGGCUGUAUUAACUUCACACCAGAUAAGAAUCCGCUACACCCUUUCCCCAUCCACUCACACUAACUUGCAUUAACAUCUGUUUAACUUACCAAUAUCAAAUCGCAUCUUAGGUGUGAUAUCAUAGCAGAAGUAACACGUCACUCUCCGUCAAUGGUUUGAUUGGAAUGUUUCCAGGUUUUUUUUUUUCUCGUUUUUUUCCCUCUCUUUUUCCCCUCUUGUUUUUAUGCUGUUAAUUGUCCUUGGUUUCUUUCUUUUUUCUUUCUUUCACUGCUUCGAUCACCUGCUUCCACACUCAUCCACAAACAACAUCCUUUAUUUCGAUACAUACGCACAGCACGAUCACGCACAGUCAUGCGCUCAACGGCAGCACAUUUACAUCAGUCAGACAGCGCACACAGACCUACAGGAUACACACACUUAAGCCAAGCAUACUCAUAUUAGUAAAUAUGCAAACACAUAGUCAGAUUCAAGGAGCAUCUCAUCACACAUUUUUUCUCUCUCUCCUUCUCUGUAUUUAUGAACAAGUGAUGUACUCUCUCCACCUGUCUAAGCAACACACACAGCGCACACCCCUAGUUAUACACAGACAUCUAUGGGUGCACUAAGAUUCAUUACAUGGAAUGUAAAUGGAGCUGGC
Molecule: long non-coding RNA, 1346 nt
Organism: Oreochromis aureus
Lineage: Eukaryota; Metazoa; Chordata; Actinopteri; Cichliformes; Cichlidae
Source: Ensembl